UACGUAGGGUGCGAGCGUUAAUCGGAAUUACUGGGCGUAAAGCGUGCGCAGGCGGUUCGUUAUGUCCGUUGUGAAAGCCCCGGGCUCAACCUGGGAAUGGCAAUGGAAACUGGCGAGCUAGAGUGUGGCAGAGGGGGGUGGAAUUCCGCGUGUAGCAGUGAAAUGCGUAGAGAUGCGGAGGAACACCGAUGGCGAAGGCAGCCCCCUGGGCUAGCACUGACGCUCAGGCACGAAGGCGUGGGGAGCAAACAGG
RNAcentral lists this ribosomal RNA (253 nucleotides) under uncultured bacterium. RNAcentral describes it as "partial 16S ribosomal RNA". It matches the Rfam family "Bacterial small subunit ribosomal RNA", at positions 524 to 776 of the family's 1533-position model. The record is from RNAcentral.